Molecule: long non-coding RNA, 1649 nt
Organism: Hippocampus comes (tiger tail seahorse)
Lineage: Eukaryota; Metazoa; Chordata; Actinopteri; Syngnathiformes; Syngnathidae
Exons: 2
Source: RefSeq, a predicted model, not a curated record
AAAAGUAGAUCUUUAUUUCCGGCCAGGCAUUUAUUGGAGUGGAUCCCACACUUGCGGUACAUGACUGGCGUUGACUGGAAAUGCUUUUCCACUUUUUCCAUCCAAAUGUAGUGAGGUGUUAUCGAUGACACACACACGCACACACACACACACACACACACACACACACACACACACACUCACACACACAGUUAUUGCAACAUAUUGUAAAGGUUGACAAAACCACUGACGUACAAUUGAAUCACAGUGAGCUUACCCUGUCUGUCAUCUAUUUUUAGGCGAACGGACGCACACAGACACUCUCCACCUGGUUGACAUCAUCGGAUGCAUCAUGUGACCAUUCCUGGGAUGACAUCAUCAAGGCGAUGACAUAUUCCAGGGCAGUGGGCGGAAGGAUGAAACCGCAACACACUGGACUGACACCAUGGCACACCCGUACCAGGAAGUGAAAUAAAAAGGUAAAAGAGAAGUUCAGCUCUAUAUGUACAAAUAUGCACAAUGGUGUAUACCCAUCCACCCAUUCUCAGAACUGUUAAUCCUCGCGAGUGGAGUUGCGCUUCACACAUGUCGGAGGAGCACUGGACCAUAAACAGUCUUGUCUUUGGACAGCCGUAUUGUUAAUAAAUAACCUUCAUUGUUACAGCCCUGUGGCAAUAUUUGGGAACAAAAAUGUACCAUUUCAAAACCAUUUUCCUCAUGGCAAAUCUUUGAAAUGUAAUUCAUUUGGUUCCAGGUUUUGAAAUGUUGACAUCCGGACAUCUUUAGGCAAAGUUUGAGCAGAUGUAACUUUUCUAACUAUCAUGUUAUAAUACAGCUGAAGUCAAGUCAAAGUAAUCAACCUCUGAAGACAUUUCACUGAUGUUAUAUUAGGGACUGCAACAUCUGUUAGCAGUUAGCAUGUGCCUUUGCUUAACCUAAUGUCUUUAGCCUCACUUCACGUUUGAAUUUUUUUUUUUUUUAACUCGCUUAGAAAUUACCGGUAGUAACUGUCACUCGUGUAAAAUUUAGCCACAGUUUAACGAAGAAAAACUAGCCACCCUUUGAAAAUUGAAGCUCAAUCACAUUGACAUUUAGAUAUUAGAGAGGGAAAACUAAAGUCCAUGCUGCACUGUAUUUGUUUCUGGAGUAGCUAGUGACGAGAGCAAAUGUGAGUAACGUUUCCUGACGCUUACCCAAUAUUGUAUGGUUUUUUUUUUUUUUUUUGGUACACUUCAGUCAGAAGGGUUCGGAAAAAAAGAAUAUGUCUACAAAUAAUGUCAUGUUUUACUAGCUGUUUGCGACCCACUUUUGGGGUUGCGUCAAACUUGUCGAGGAUCAGUUUUACUUCAUCCAAAAUGCAAAGAACUUGCAAAUGUAACAUUCAAAACAUUUUUUGUUUCCACCAGGAUGUUUGGUUUGGUCAUUAAAUGGCAUCACAGAUUACAAAUACAGUAUGUUUAAACGGGCUUUAUGAGGCAAUUAUUCAACAUGUGCACACAAACACUACAGAAAACUAUUUACGUUUUUUUUCCCCCCUUAGCAGACGAGUCGUUGCCUGCGUGUUCUGAUAUCACAGUGCCUUGCCUGAGUGAAAGUAUGUCUCAAGCUUGAAAUAGAUAUCCACGAACGUUGGAUGACAAGUGCAGACACAUUGAUGUUUUUCUUGAGUG